Cryptotermes secundus is the source of this 4800-nucleotide long non-coding RNA. RefSeq lists it as uncharacterized. The record is from RefSeq and is a predicted model, not a curated record. NCBI's taxonomy places the organism in Eukaryota, Metazoa, Arthropoda, Insecta, Blattodea, Kalotermitidae. The transcript is spliced from 3 exons.
CAUUAUGUUAUAUUAAAGAGUAACUAAUCAGCACAGUUCAUUCCUGGAUUUUAAUUUUUGUUUAACUUCACUUGUUAGAGAAUUUUCAGCUCAGAUUUUGUAUAUACUUCACAUCUUUACCAUGCUUUCUUAUCAUCCUAAUAACAUUUGGUGAAGAAUACCAAUUACUAAAUUCCCCACUGUGUAACUUCUUCAGCCUUCUCCCUCUUGGAAUAAAACAUUCUCCUUAGCACUCUGUUUCCAAAUACCCUCAAUUUACUCUCUUCCCUUAAUGUGAGUGAACAAAUUUUACACUUGUACACCAAGCAGGUUGGUUCAAGUGAUAUUGUUGUUGACAUCGACUGUCAGUAACCCCAUGUACUCAUGCCAGCUGAAGCAGUAACACUUUAUAUGUAGGAGAUGGCUGUGACAUGGAUUGCUUUGAUUGAAAUUUUUCAUGGUUUUCCUCAGUCCUACUGGGUAAAUGUUGGGAGGGUAGGGUUGGUGGCAGCAGUCUUCAUCUGUGGGCAUUACAGUCCAUGAUUAACACUGGCCUAUAUUUUACAGUUUCUUAAUCAUAGAUAGUUGGUAGGGCUCCGUGUGUUGGGGAUCAGCCCACUGCAAGGUCACUACCUAUAUAGUACAAUGUAAACAGAAUAAACACAAACAUCGAUGCUUCAAGUGAGAUUCGAACCCAUGACCCCAGUGUUUGACUGAACAAAGAGAGUUCUUGCCUUAGACCACGCAGCCAGUAUGAUCAGCAUAAACACCAGGAUAGUACUUCAACUUGACCAUGACUGCUUCCUUCCACAUUCUUUCCGGUUCAUUACUCACUAAUUAGCCCACAGUUCAUCACCAUACUAUUAGUUACUGACCAUGUCAUUAAGUAAACCAUGACCUCUAAAAAUUAACAAAUUCACACUUAUACAAAAGAGAAGACUAAAUUCUGGUUAUGUAUACUUUAAUAUUUUUUAUUUUAGAUUGGAACAAGCGCACACACAAAUAUUGUGGCAUAUAGACUCGUUGCUGGGCAACAACCACAAAAUAAGCAACUAUACAACAGCCACUGCUAGGAAAUGGCUCUGUAGACAAGCAUGUCUCCACAUCAGCAAGAGAAUACAGCAAUAAUGGAAGCAGUGUGUUCUACGCAGUCCAUGCCAAGAUGUUAUAAGCAGGGCCAGUUAGCUAAAACAUAAGUGGAGGCUAAGGAAAAUCUGACAAGUAACCUAGGAUCCAGCAUGUAAAACGGCAGUUAAUGGGGUUACCAAGACCAUCAGGAAUGACCCAUAGAAAGGCACUCGAACAGUGGGAAAGAAAAGUAGGCUCUGCGGCCUAUUGUGAAAUGAUUUAUGAAAAGUUAAUGAACCAAAGGCACCAGCUGCUGUUCAUGGACCUUUAGGAAUGACAUACCACCUGAAGAAGGAAUCCAACAUGAUUGUGAAUUGUGUAGAAAACCAUUUCACAUCUGAUGACCUGUGUGAUGAAAACCAUGAACAACAGGUGGAGACUUAGAGUCCAAGCUGUGCUUGCAUCUGUAGAUGACACCCCACUGGGAAAAGUAAGACCUUGUGACAUAAAUUAGUAAAAUUCAUUGAAAUUGAGAAAGGCUUGUGGACUUGAUGGUAUUCCAAAUGAAUGCCUCAGGCACAUUCAAAGAAGACCGCCGGUACAUCUGACACAUUUAUUUAAUCACUGCCUUUGGCUGUCCCAGUUUUCAAAGCCUUGGAAAAGAACAAAACUUGUAGCAUACCAAAAUCCAGUAAGGACAUGAAAUUCCCUCAAAAUUUACAUCCGCUUGGUCUCUUGUCUACAACAGGCAAACUAUUUGAGAAAGUUAUUCCAAAAAUAGCCCAAAGACACAUUGAAGGAAGAGGCCAGCUUCAUGCAAGCCAGUUUGGUUUCCCCUGUCACAGCAUGACACUUCAGUGUAGGAAGCUUAUGGAUCACGUCACAUUAAAUUUUAAGAGUAACGUGUCUCUGGUUGUGGUAUUCUCAAAUAUUGAAAAAGCCUUUGAUACAACAUGGUACCUUGACUUGCUAUAUAAAUAAUUUAAUUUAAUUUUUUUUUUAUCAGUCUAAUCAAGCCUAUUAGCCCUGUUCUUUCUCAGAGAAAAUUCAGAGUCUUCUUCAUAGAUGAAAUGUCUGCACCAAGUGAUAUACAAGCAGGGGUGCCACAAGGUUCCAUCCUGUCCCCCACAUUUUACUGCAUAUAUAUGUGUAAGUGAUACACCCCAAACACCUAGUGUCUAUCUAGGUCUCCUUGCUGAAGACACCUGUAUAUAUGUGGGUCUUUUAUAUAGUGCAAGAGGAAGGAUUUUCAGUAACAUGCUAUAUGUGCACUUGACAAAGGUAAGUUAUAUUCAUAAGAAAUAAACCCGUCCUCUCAUCAAAAAGGAUGUUACAUAAGGACUAUGACAGCAAGGGUUCAGUUGCAAAAAAAAUAUCUCUGGUCAGACCCUCAAGGAGUUUGACACCAAGACAAACUGGUGGUAAACCACUAGUUAUAAAGUAGCUUUGACUUUGACUUUUUGCUGCAGGAGUGGCAACUGCAAGUUGGUGGAUGGAGAGGAACCUCAUCCCUCCAACUGUCGAGGCUGCAGGCACGCCAAGGAAGAGAUGCAUAAGCAAAAGUUGCAGAGAUUGUUAAAGAGUUUAAUGGGAAGUAUGUUCUCUUCCAGUCACACUACCCGAAAACAGUCCUUUUCAGUGGUGCUAUGCAGCAACACACAGCAGCAGCCUCAGCCACCCACAGUUACGUAGGCCUGCCCUACCAUGAAACAAAUCGAACUCCGUGGCCUGUAGUCUGCAAGCGAACUAUACCUGCCCUACCACAGGAGGUGAAAUGAGUGCCCCCACCUCUUGAGGCCAACCAACAACAAGUACCAAGUCACUCAGUUCAGGCUCCUAAUGCAUACAGUUCAUCUGUGUACAACAUGUUCAUGGUAGUCACAGUGAUAUUUCAGCAGAUCAUGACAGAACUCGAUGGGACUAAGUCAGAAGAAGACAGAAUAAUGGCCAUCGCAAAAAUUGUAUUAAAACUCAUGAAGCAAAAUGGUUGCGCCAAGCCAGAAGAAGACAGAAUAAUGGCCAUCACAAAAAUUGUAUUAAAACUCAUGAAGCAAAAUGGUUGCUGGAUUUCAUAACUGGUAAAUAUGACUCCCAUGGUGAGGGACAGCAGCAGUUGUAAACAACAGAUCUGUCCACUCAUAGGAGAGGGCGCCCCACAUCAGCAAACCCACAUAUGUCUGAGAGUAAUAAAAUCUGGUCUUGGGGCCCCAGAUGAGUGCUUGACACCAAGACAGACCAGCCGACUGACCGUCAGUCAUAACAUAACUUUGACUUGGCUUGUUGGAGCAGUGAGUGAGUUGGAUAACUGCUGGGGUUCAGUUGUUGUGAGCUGUUGCUGGGAGACGCUGAGACCAGGGACAGUCAGGAGCCCAGAGGAAGUGGCAUAUCCGCUGUUUGAUGCUGCUACCAAGCGAUGGCUAGUGAAGCACUCUUAACAGACUGAGAAAACCUAGUGUGUCCUAUUGUAAUGUGAAGUGUGUAGAACAGUGAGAGCAUAACCCUUCCUUGUAGUUACAAGUUGCAAGAGUUCGGUAAAUCCGAUUACUGAUCCAAACCCCAUCUGUAGUCACUAAAAUUGUGACAGUAUUAUAAAGGGGUUCAUUUUUCUUGGAAUUAUGAAGCUGAGACUGAAUAAGCUAAUAAAAAUAAAUUCUUUACUGAAGUAGUAACCAACCAUCACAGGAAACUUAUGUGUUCAUCAUUUUUUCAGCAACUCAAGUUAUGUAAGCAGUGACUGAGUUGUUUAUGACUUCUGUUAAAUCCUAGCUGCAGAGAUGUACAAUAUCUGGAGGCCAUUUCCUCCAUCAGCGGUCUCAGGACACACCAUAUCACGGUGACAAGGGUCCCAAUUUAACAUCUGGUGUACUUUUUACUAAGCGGGAUUGAGCAUUCACGGAGACGUUAUUACUCAGUACAGAGAUUUAGAAGAUACGUCAGGAUGGUCUUCAGUGGCAUAAUGCUUCUAUAAAAUUUAGUAAUGACAGCAACCAUUAUUUGUACUAUUGUGAAGUUUCACCAUCUGAAACCCUGGACUGAAUUUUGGCGACUGAAAUAUAAUGUAAUGAAUUUGAUCAAUGCAUUGCCAGUCAACAGCUCUGUAAACAUAGUCCAACAUGAUGCAACAAUAGAGGAAGCUAUGUUUUCCGUGUCUGUACCCAACAGUAGGUAGCAGUCACGUGACAUGUGUUUGCUCUAUGUCUAUGCAACUUGCACCAAUGGACUGGCUGAUCACCACACCAUGGAGAUAAAGUUCCACAUAUUCCUAACCUCACAUUCCAGAUCAGAAGAAAGAAUGCCUUAUAGGCAUUAAGCACUGAAGAGGCAGCUGGUUAUACCAUAGAGCUAUUUGGGACAUGGAGAUGAAGAGAAUCUCAGUACUGGUGCCAGACACUGAACCGCUAAAACCACUAAGAGCCAAACUAUAGUCUAGCAUUGUCUUGGCAGCUGUCAUGGCUCAGAAUUUAUUCAUCACUCAAAAAUUAAUGUCAUUUACAUCAUCAGUUCUCCAUUCAGUACCUGACUAAAAUUAAUUUAAUUUAGUGAAUUCAAAUGAUUUUUUUGUGAAUAUCAAAGAAAUGAAAAAAGAGAUCCAACAAAUAUCUACAGUUCUUUCAGCUGAACUGAUGAUACAUAUAUUUCAUUAUUAUUUACAACCAUUAAUUCCUCAGCUCACAAUUUAAGCAGAACACUGCAUGGCAUGACAACCAUACUUAGUGUCAAUGAAUUUAAUAUUAAAUUGAUCUUCAGUGUUUG